GAUGAACGCUGGCGGCGUGCCUAAUACAUGCAAGUCGAGCGAACAGACGCGGCGCUUGCUCCUCUGACGUUAGCGGCGGACGGGUGAGUAACACGUGUAUAACCUCCCUAUCAGACUGGGAUCACUUCGGGAAACCGGAGCUUAUCCCGUAUAAUCUCUUGAACCGCAUGGUUCAAUGGUGAAAUACGGUUUUGCUGUCUCUUCUCGCUGGAUCUGCGCCGCUUUAGCUGGUUGGGACGGUAACGGCUUACCACGGCGACCAUGCGUAGCCGAACUGAGAGGGGGAUCGGCCACACUGGAACUGAGACACGGUCCAGACUCCUGCGGGAGGCAGCAGUAGGGAAUGUUCCGCAAUGGGCGAAAGCCUGACGGAGCAACGCCGCGUGAGAGAUGAAGGUCUUCGGAUCGUAAAGCUCUGUUAUGAGGGAAGAACAAAUGUGGAAGUAACUAUGCACGUCUUGACGGUACCUAAUCAGAAAGCCACGGCUAACUACGUG
This 497-nucleotide ribosomal RNA is filed under the name uncultured bacterium. RNAcentral's name for it is "partial 16S ribosomal RNA". It matches the Rfam family "Bacterial small subunit ribosomal RNA", at positions 28 to 507 of the family's 1533-position model. The record is from RNAcentral.